Molecule: long non-coding RNA, 1381 nt
Organism: Acinonyx jubatus (cheetah)
Lineage: Eukaryota; Metazoa; Chordata; Mammalia; Carnivora; Felidae
Exons: 2
Source: RefSeq, a predicted model, not a curated record
UGGCGGCAGGCAGUUCUCGAAGGUGGGGCUGCCUGCCCUGCAUUUGUAUCCAGAGAGCACUCCGUGGACGCUGGUGUGGACUGACGGGGGUCUCCCGGUGCCCUGGCCGCCACGCCCUGCCCUUCCCGCCCUCGGGGGGAACAGCAAAGUGAGUGGAGGCAGGAGGGGCGCCUCUCCCCGCGGAGGGCGCCGUGUGUGUGUCGGGAUGGUGAGGCCAGGCAGUGGGAAGGGAGGCCGGGAGCGGCCUGAGCAGGUGGGCGAUGUUCGGGCUCCCGCGUUCUUCACCCGCCGGGCUCUUAGGGCUUCAGAACGCUCAUGGGGUCGCGGGCGUGCAAGCCACGUGGGACCCUCCCUGUGGUGAUGCGUGGGGCACCUCGGGGGUGACUUCCAGCUUCCGUGCCGUUCGUCUCUCCUCCCGGCUCGUGCCUCCGUUUGACCAUCUGUAGGCUGGGGACAAGGGGGGGCUGGGCAGCCAACGCCGGUCGGUCCCUUUUCUUUCCGAGCCAAGGGCCUGGAGGACAACGAGCCCAGCCCGGGCGACCCUCGAUUCCACGGUCCCGUCCCGAUCCUGUCACAGCGGGAGGCAGAGGACAGGGUCGCACGAGUACGGGUCCUGUUUCCAGUACAGCUUGUCUCUCUCCUCGGCUUUGGUCCCCGGCCCCUCCCUUCCUGCCUGGAUUUGCCAAAAUGCCAGCCACCCGCAGUCCGUCCCGGGCCACUGUCACCGUAGCAAAUCCCUGUACGUUUUCGUGGUUCUCUGGCAAGACCCGCUGCCCGGUCUCCCAGGGCUCUUUCUUUCUACUCCUGCCUAGACCCACAGCGGCUUCACCCCACCCGCGGCCACUUCCCUUGGGGUCCUACGAGCCUGCCAAGGGGGUUUUCCGGCGCAUUCCGUGAACGGGAGCCUUCCUCGGUUCUACGAGAGGGAGAAAGUCUCAGGUUGGGGACCUGGGGAAGCUUCCAGACUUGCAGCCUGGGGCCCAGGCCUGCAGCUUUGCCUUCCCAGUGUCCUCAGGACGGAGCCCUCGGCAGGCCCGCCCGCCACUGCCCGGGGACCCUCUGCUGCCCGGGGCCCCGCGCCCCUCGAGGCGCCGAGCAGGGCCCCGACUUCCCCAGCGCCCCGCCAGCUUCAGAAGUCACAGCCCAAACGCCAUGCCGUAUACGUCAUGGCAGACAGCGUGCAUGACGCUAGGAACCUGUAUACAUAGCCCCGUGUACAUAUUUAUAUAUUCCUAUUAUAAAUACACAAAGCAUGGCAAUCCUUUGGCAUUCCAAAUCUGUGUUUUUUUAAAUCCUGGAAAUACAACUUUAGACACCUUUUCUUCCUGUUUCUCUUUUCUAUGUAAUAAACGUUCAUGUGACCUUUCUGGUGGCUUCUCAA